Molecule: long non-coding RNA, 2930 nt
Filed under: Mus musculus (house mouse)
Lineage: Eukaryota; Metazoa; Chordata; Mammalia; Rodentia; Muridae
Description: long non-coding RNA chr6:88919707-88922637
Source: RNAcentral
AUGUCAUUAUUUGGUACCAAGAGGAAGACUUUUUUUUUUUUCUAAAGGCAACAGUAAGAGGCUCCAAAGCACAGGGACUGUGACCCUGGGCUGUAGCCCACUCCUCACCUGGGGAGGGAGAAGUUCAGGCCCAGCUGGGUCCUCCCUCCAGCCCUCCCUUCCCCCCAGCCCCCACCCCUCACCUGUCACACUGAGUGAACUUAAAUCAAAGGAAGGGGGCUUCUGUCCAAAAUCCUCUGCCAGGCCUGGACUUGGUAGAGAAUUCUUCAAACCCUCAAAAUUCUUUUCUCCUUGCAAAUGGGGAAUCUUCAAGACCUCCACUUUCCUCACCCUAGACUUGAAUAAAAGACUCUCCCUAAAAUAGAGCAGGAGGCAACCUGGUGUCUGUCAAGUGAGCUGACCCCUGCUCCAGCCCUGACUCCUGACUUUCACAACUGUCAUCUAGCCGCAGGCACAGGGACUGGAAUGGGGAAGAGCUUAGACACUCGCCAUUUGGCCAAGCUGUACAUAAAUCUGUUUCCUUCAUCAAUGUGUGGUUCCUUAUCUCUCUUAAAAAUACAGGAGAACUGGGUGGUUGGUUUCUAGGACAAACUGCCCAAUGCCAGGUUUGUGCUAGAGCACAGGUUCUCAACCUGUGGGUCUCAACCCCUUUGGGGGUCCAAUGACUCUUUCACUGGGGUCAUACAUCAGCUAUUCUGCAUAGCAGAUAUUUACAUUAUUAUUCACAACUAUAGCAACAUUACAGUUAUGAAGUAGCAAUGAAAUAAUUUUAUGGUAGGAGUGUCACCACAGUGCAGCAUUAGGAAGGUUGAGAACCUUUGAUCUAGAGCCACAAAGGCCACUCUGCUCUCCUGUCAGCUGGACUCCUCUGCAUACAAGCAACAAGAAUCCAGUUCAAACUGGCUUGAAGUAAACCAGAGGCCUGCAGGCAUCCAAAAAAAUCUAGCUGUGCCUGUUCACACACAGGCAAAUCCAAAUGCUUCCAGGCUGACUGGCUCGUGUGCUUAGUCCCUGUUCUAGCUCUGCUGUGUGCCUGGGAAGGCUUCCUCCUCAGAGAUGCUAAAGGGAAAGAAGUGGGGUGGAGCACGUGGACAUUUGCAUCUUCAGUGAGUAACCACAUACUCAGGAUAUGCCUGGAAGGUGACAGUCCAGCUUGGCCAGUGUUGAGGGUGCUGAAGAAUUCAUGGCUGAGUAGAUACUAGCUGGGCGACACUGACUUCAAGAAGAGAGUCUGAGAUCCAGGCUAGCACAGGGCCCCAUGAUGUCAUCUUUGACCUAGGCCCCUCGGUGAUGUACUGUCCUAAGCCCCACUUCUCUUUCACAGGAUGGUGGCUCCAACUGUCUAGUCCUACAGAGUGUCUCCCUGGUACCACUGUCACCCUGUGUGUGUGAGAAGGGUGCCUCAUAUCUUACAUUUGCCUCAUUGGUCAAACAUUGCUAGAAGUGUCACCUCUCUAUGAUGGCAGCUGGACCUGUCUGGCUUCCUUUGGGGGACUGCUACUUUUCAUAAAUGAAUAAGAAAGAAAAGAGAUGGAUAUUAAGCAGGCAGCUGGCAGGUGGCUGUCAGGACUGAAAAUGGUAACAAAUGGGCUCAGAGGCUGGUGUGGUUCACUCCAUCCCUGGCUGAAGCCAUUGCUUUGGGGAUGAAGCAUCAUGGGUACAGUGGAAAUCCCCUUUGUCCAUCCAUUCUUUCCCAAUCUGGUCCCACAGCAGGCAACUGAACUUUGUGCUUGCUUCUGCGCUCCCCUGCCUCUGUCUCUGUCUUUGUCUCUGUCUCUGUCUCUGUCUCUGUCUCUGUCUCUCUUUCCCUGUUUCUCUCUGUCUCUCUGUCUCUGUCUGUGUCUCUCUCACUGUUUCUCUCUGUGUCUCUGUCUGUGUGUGUACAUGUAAACAGCAGGACCUCUGUUGUCUCUGCUUUGGAGUAAACCAAACCAGUUUGUUCUGAUUCACCUUCCCCAACUUACUGCUCAUCUCACUUUGAUUUAGGGACUGGUACUAAUACUCAAGAUACCCAUAUGCCGCUGUUCCAUAAAUGGUAUCAUUUAUUUGCCAAUUUGAGUUGCUUGGUGGUGGUAACAAGGGAUGCUGGGACACAUGUUCUGUGUCUGAUUUUCUUGAGAACCCUUCUGGGUGUUGUUCUGAGGAACAGAGUCACUGUGGUCAUAGCAUACACAUGUCACCUAUUUGCUUCCCAGUGGUUUUUUACAAUUCCUGAAGAUUUUGAAGCAGGGGCAUGACACAGACCAGGAAUUCCCAAACUGGAGUCCUGAGUUCUUAAGGUCAAAACUAUUUUUAAAGAAUGUAAGACAACCCCUGCCUUCUCAUUAUCUCUCUCUGAUGUCCAGUAGAACUUUCUAGGCAGAGUAUGUGUUGACUUCAUAGCUCUGGAAGCUAAAGGGACAUGCAUGGGUGUAUGCAUGUUCUUUAAAAGCCUCUUCGGCUGGGUGUGGUGACACAUCUGCAAUCCUAGCAUUUGAGAGGUUGAGGCAGGAAGAUUGCAAAUUUAAGGCCAGCCUGGACUGCCUAAGUACUACUGUCACCAAAAUAAUUUUUAUAAAGUCCAUUUUAGGGGUCAAUCAGGAUAGAUCAGCAGGUAAAGGUGAUUGCUGCCAAGCUGGACAAUCUAAUUUGGAUCCUGGGACCCACAUGGUAGAAGGAGAGAACUAACUCCCACAGGUUGUCCUGAUCUCAGUAUGUACACCAUGAUAUGUAUGCCCACACACACAAUACAUUUUUUUAAAUGAAAUUUAAAAUUAUUUUAAAAAAGUCUUUGCCAGGUGGUGAUACACGCCUUUAAUCCCAGCACUUAGGAGGGAGAGACAGGUAGAUCUCUGAGUUUGAGGCCAACCUGAUCUACAGAGUUAGUUCCAGGAUAGCCAAGGCUUCACAGAGAAUCCCUGUCUCAAAGGUAAAACAAAAGAAAACAAAGC